RNAcentral lists this ribosomal RNA (261 nucleotides) under uncultured archaeon. RNAcentral describes it as "partial 16S ribosomal RNA". It matches the Rfam family "Archaeal small subunit ribosomal RNA", at positions 748 to 1008 of the family's 1478-position model. The record is from RNAcentral.
CAGCCCUAAACGAUGCGCGUUAGGUGUAUCGGUGACCACGAGUCACCGAGGUGCCGAAGGGAAACCGUGAAACGUGCCGCCUGGGAAGUACGGCCGCAAGGCUGAAACUUAAAGGAAUUGGCGGGGGAGCACAACAACGGGUGGAGCUUGCGGUUUAAUUGGAUUCAACGCCGGAAAUCUUACCGGGACCGACAGCAACAUGAAGGCCAGGCUGAAGACUUUGCCGGAUUAGCUGAGAGGAGGUGCAUGGCGUGUGACUGU